GUCAGUAUUUCUUGACUAACUUUUGAACUUUAUGCAUUUCAGUGAGGUUUUCUGGAGCAUUGCUCUGAAGAGUCGCCUUGAACCAGAGGUGAGGACAACCGAAGGUGACGACUCAGCAUUUCCGUGUUGAUGCCGGACAAACUGAGUGGGGCGUCAAGAGGAAGAAUCAGCCACUUAAAUUGGAGGCUACCCAUGGACACAUACUCUAGCACCACGGUGGCACGCAAUAUGCAGCAAUCCUCCAACCGGUUGGCCAAACUCAAAGGUAAGGCCUCGUUUUUUAUAACAACCCCUUCCUUUGCUUCUCAGCCUUCACCCAUUGUCUUCCCCUGGAAACAAAACUGCAUUUCCAUUGCUGCUUUUUCUCACCUUUUUUUGCGACGGUAGCACCACCUGCAAAGGGAG
This 405-nucleotide long non-coding RNA is filed under the name Lepisosteus oculatus (spotted gar). RNAcentral describes it as "lncRNA (ENSLOCG00000021280.1)". The record is from RNAcentral. Lineage: Eukaryota; Metazoa; Chordata; Actinopteri; Semionotiformes; Lepisosteidae.